RNAcentral lists this long non-coding RNA (368 nucleotides) under Gossypium barbadense (sea-island cotton). Its description in RNAcentral is "long non-coding RNA (GBAR_LNC000474)". Lineage: Eukaryota; Viridiplantae; Streptophyta; Magnoliopsida; Malvales; Malvaceae. The record is from RNAcentral.
UUUCAAUGAAGUUAUUUUUUUAUCUCUCCAUUAAAUUUUACUUUACGACAUCAUGUCUAAAGUUGAUAUUUUAUCUUCUCAAAAGUACUUUUUGACAGCAAUGGUUAACACUAUCAAAUUUUUCAAAAAUAUUUUUGAACCUCAGUGAUAAACUAAUUUCACAAAGAGGUACGUGAUUGUAAAUUUAUUUAUUGAAUUUAACUUUUUUUUUUCUUUUUAUGAGUGCUGAAAUUGAAAUUCUUUAUUUAAUUAUUUUGGUUGUAGAAUGGGUGUGCGGUUCCAAUGUCUUUGAAAGAAAGCAUCAAGAGGUAACAGUUGGAAUGUGGUGGAGGAAUUGAGAGCUGAAAAUUCAAGUUACUUGACUGGGG